UACGGAGGGUGCAAGCGUUGCUCGGAAUUAUUGGGCGUAAAGGGUAGGUAGGUGGUCUUAUUUGUCUGGGGUGAAAGCCUUGAGCUUAACUCAAGAAGUGCCCUAGAAACGGUAAGACUAGAGUCCUGGAGAGGGUCGUGGAAUUCCCGGUGUAGCGGUGAAAUGCGUAGAGAUCGGGAGGAACACCAGAGGCGAAGGCGGCGACCUGGACAGGCACUGACACUCAACUACGAAAGCGUGGGGAGCAAACAGG
Molecule: ribosomal RNA, 253 nt
Filed under: uncultured bacterium
Lineage: Bacteria
Description: partial 16S ribosomal RNA
Rfam family: Bacterial small subunit ribosomal RNA
Source: RNAcentral